GCCAGUCAUGGAGGCAUGCACCUGUAGUACCAGCUACUCUGGAGGCUGAAGCAGGAGGAUCACUUGAGCCCAGGAGUUCUGGGCUGUAGAGCAUUAUGCUGAUUGGGUGUCUGCGCUAAGUUCAAUAUUAAUAUGGUGACUUUCUGGGAGCAGGGGACCACCGGGUUGCCUGAGGAGAUGUGAACUGGCCCAGAUUGGAAACUGAGAAAGCUCAAAUUCCUGAGGUGACGAUUGGUAGGACACUGCCUCUGAAAAGCCACUGUACUCCAGCCUGGGCAACACAGCGAGAUCUUUUCUCAA
Gorilla gorilla gorilla (western lowland gorilla) is the source of this 300-nucleotide non-coding RNA. It matches the Rfam family "Metazoan signal recognition particle RNA". From Rfam's summary of the family: The signal recognition particle (SRP) is a universally conserved ribonucleoprotein. It is involved in the co-translational targeting of proteins to membranes. The record is from Rfam. Lineage: Eukaryota; Metazoa; Chordata; Mammalia; Primates; Hominidae.